UACGAAGGGGGCUAGCGUUGCUCGGAAUCACUGGGCGUAAAGCGCACGUAGGCGGAUUGUUAAGUCAGUGGUGAAAUCCUGGAGCUCAACUCCAGAACUGCCUUUGAUACUGGCGAUCUUGAGUCCGGGAGAGGUGAGUGGAACUGCGAGUGUAGAGGUGAAAUUCGUAGAUAUUCACAAGAACACCAGUGGCGAAGGCGGCUCACUGGCCCGGUACUGACGCUGAGGUGCGAAAGCGUGGGGAGCAAACAGG
Molecule: ribosomal RNA, 253 nt
Filed under: uncultured bacterium
Lineage: Bacteria
Description: partial 16S ribosomal RNA
Rfam family: Bacterial small subunit ribosomal RNA
Source: RNAcentral